GGGCCCUGGUCCCCACCUUUGUGCCCUGGUCAAAAGUAAUGCACUAUAUAGGGAAUCAUUUAGGAUGCAUAUGAUGUCACUGACAGUAAAUCCAUAGAAAGCUAAUGGAGGUUGUUUGUCAUGUUUCCUGUUAGAACAAAUACAUGUCUACAGCUGCACACGGACAGACAGUGACUUAAUGAAUGACAGACAGUGACUUAAUGAAUGGCAGACAGUGACUUAAUGAAUGACAGACAGUGACUUAAUGAAUGACAGACAGUGAGUUAAUGAAUGACAGACAGUGACUUAAUGAAUGGCAGACAGUGACUUAAUGAAUGACAGACAGUGACUUAAUGAAUGACAGACAGUGACUUAAUGAAUGACAGACAGUGACUUAAUGAAUGACAGUGACUUAAUGAAUGACAGACAGUGACUUAAUGAAUGACAGACAGUGAGUUAAUGAAUGACAGACAGUGACUUAAUGAAUGGCAGACAGUGACUUAAUGAAUGACAGACAGUGACUUAAUGAAUGACAGACAGUGACUUAAUGAAUGACAGACAGUGACUUAAUGAAUGACAGACAGUGAGUUAAUGAAUGACAGUGACUUAAUGAAUGACAGACAGUGACUUAAUGAAUGACAGUGACUUAAUGAAUGACAGACAGUGACUUAAUGAAUGACAGACAGUGAGUUAAUGAAUGACAGACAGUGACUUAAUGAAUGACAGACAGUGACUUAAUGAAUGACAGACAUGCGUAAGUAAGCACUUUAAGAGAUCGCUACUCCCCCUUCUGAGUCAAUAAUGAAAUGUGUGUGUGUGUGUGUGUGUGUGUAUCAUUUCCUAUCAGAUAAUUAGCUCAUCGUGGGUGAGAUGACUUGGUAACAUAGCAGCUAGUGAGACUAGACCAGACAAUACCAAUAAUAAUGAAUGAAUGACAAAAGCACAUCAAUAUACAAGCAGCACAGCACUGUAUGAAACAGCUUGGCCAAAUAACCUUUUGACCUUCUGAGCGUGACAAAAUAUGGAAUCUACCAUUUGCAGUUAGUUGGUGUCCAUUUUGUCUUUAACUGCCAAUAGUCCGUUGUUUUCCCCUGUCUGUUUGGUCUCCUGUUCGGUGCUAGUGUGAUGUAACAGCACCUAUAGGACCAGAGUUAAGGCUGUCUAAUAGCAUUAAAACCGCCACGGCAGCAAACAGAGACAACCCUCCCUCCUCUAACAGUAUCUGUGCCCUAUUGGACCAGUGUUACAAGUGAGGGCUUGCUCCGGGUCCAGGGUGUUAAAAUCACUAAAGCCCAAAUCUCUUCACCCAGGAUCCAAUAAGUACACUGUCUGUCCCCUCUCUCCCAGGGUUGAGACAUCUCUGUCCCCUCUCUCCCAGGGUUGAGACAUCUCUGUCCCCUCUCUCCCAGGGUUGAGACAUCUCUGUCCCCUCUCUCCCAGGGUUGAGACAUCUCUGUCCCCUCUCUCCCAGGGUUGAGACAUCUCUGUCCCCUCUCUCCCAGGGUUGAGACAUCUCUGUCCCCUCUCUCCCAGGGUUGAGACAUCUCUGUCCCCUCUCUCCCAGGGUUGAGACAACUCUGUCCCGUCUCUCCCAGGGUUGAGACAACUCUGUCCCGUCUCUCUCUCAGAUAGGCAUCCAUCUGCCUUCAUCCCUCUCUU
Long non-coding RNA from Oncorhynchus tshawytscha (Chinook salmon), 1638 nucleotides. Lineage: Eukaryota; Metazoa; Chordata; Actinopteri; Salmoniformes; Salmonidae. The record is from Ensembl.